CACUACAUAGGGAAUAUGGUGCCAUAGGGCUCUGGUCUAAAGUAGUGCACUGCAUAGGGAAUAUGGUGCCCUUUGGAACACAGAGUGAAAAGGGGUAGUAAACCCUGGUUGAAAUGGCCCAAGUCAGGGAACUGUGGAGUUAUGAGUUUGGGGUUCAACUUUCUGUUUUUCCUGCUGACAUCAGCUACAACCAUCGUAUUAUAUGGGAGUCUGACUGGACAGCUCUGAAUCUAACAUCUAGGACUGUGUCUCUAUAGGGAUCCAUUAGGAACACAGCCUAAAGGAUGUAACAACUAGGGGCUGUGUCUCUAUAGGGAUCCAUUAGGAACACAGCCUAGUAACACAGUCUAAAGGAUGGAGCAUCUAGGGGCUGUGUCUCUAUAGGGAUCCAUUAGGAACACAGCCUAGUAACACAGUCUAAAGGAUGGAGCAUCUAGGGGCUGUGUCUCUGUAGGGAUCCAUUAGGAACACAGCCUUAAGGUCUGAAUCCAGGCUUAGUUGAUCAAUUAAGCAUGUGAUUCAUUGUUAUUGAUUAACCUUAAAUUACAUUAGACUUGAUUAAUAUGCUAUUUGGAAUAGAAUGGAAUAGUCCUACGUCGUCAAGGGAACACUUUGUAUUGUUCUGGACUAGGCUAUAAUCAGCCUAAUCUAUGGCCAUGAUUUAACCAGCCUUUGCCUGGCACCCAGUCUGACCAGCCCAAUGUCCAUCAGUGUCCUGUAUCGUAGACAAGGUUCUCUAUCAUUUAGACUGACCAGCCCAAUGUCCAUCAGUUUCCUGUAUCGUAGACAAGGUUCUCUAUCAUUUAGGCUGACCAGCCCAAUCUCCAUCAGUGUCCUGCAUCUUAGACAAGGUUCUCUAUCAUUUAGGCUGACCAGCCCAAUGUCCAUCAGUGUUCUGUAUCUUAGACAAGGUUCUCUAUCAUUUAGGCUGACCAGCCCAAUGUCCAUCAGUGUCCUGUAUCUUAGACAAGGUUCUCUAUCAUUUAGACUGACCAGCCCAAUGUCCAUCAGCUUCCUGUAUCGUAGACAAGGUUCUCUAUCAUUUAGACUGACCAGCCCAAUGUCCAUCAGUGUCCUGUAUCUUAGACAAGGUUCUCUAUCAUUUAGGCUGACCAGCCCAAUGACCAUCAGUGUCCUGUAUCUUAGACAAGGUUCUCUAUCAUUUAGGCUGACCAGCCCAAUGUCCAUCAGUGUCCUGUAUCUUAGACAAGGUUCUCUAUCAUUUAGGCUGACCAGCCCAAUGUCCAUCAGUGUCCUGUAUCUUAGACAAGGUUCUCUAUCAUUUAGACUGACCAGCCCAAUGUCCAUCAGCUUCCUGUAUCGUAGACAAGGUUCUCUAUCAUUUAGGCUGACCAGCCCAAUGUCCAUCAGUGUCCUGUAUCUUAGACAAGGUUCUCUAUCAUUUAGGCUGACCAGCCCAAUGUCCAUCAGUGUCCUGUAUCUUAGACAAGGUUCUCUAUCAUUUAGGCUGACCAGCCCAAUGUCCAUCAGUGUCCUGUAUCUUAGACAAGGUUCUCUAUCAUUUAGGCUGACCAGCCCAAUGUCCAUCAGUGUCCUGUAUCUUAGACAAGGUUCUCUAUCAUUUAGGCUGACCAGCCCAAUGUCCAUCAGUGUCCUGUAUCUUAGACAAGGUUCUCUAUCAUUUAGACUGACCAGCCCAAUGUCCAUCAGUGUCCUGUAUCUUAGACAAGGUUCUCUAUCAUUUAGGCUGACCAGCCCAAUGUCCAUCAGUGUCCUGUAUCUUAGACAAGGUUCUCUAUCAUUUAGACUGACCAGCCCAAUGUCCAUCAGUGUCCUGUAUCUUAGACAAGGUUCUCUAUCAUUUAGACUGACCAGCCCAAUGUCCAUCAGUUUCCUGUAUCGUAGACAAGGUUCUCUAUCAUUUAGACUGACCAGCCCAAUGUCCAUCAGUGUCCUGUAUCUUAGACAAGGUUCCCUAUCAUUUAGGCUGACCAGCCCAAUGUCCAUCAGUUUCCUGUAUCGUAGACAAGGUUCUCUAUCAUUUAGACUGACCAGCCCAAUGUCCAUCAGUGUCCUGUAUCGUAGACAAGGUUCUCUAUCAUUUAACUCACUCACUGAGCCAUUUAAAAAUAUAUAUAUAUUAAUUUAACUAGGAAAGUCAGUUAAGAACAAAUUCUUAUUUACAAUGACGGCCUACCCCGGCCAAACCCGGACGACGCUGGGCCAAUUGUGCGCCGCCCAAUGGAACUCCCAAUCACAGCCGGUUGUGAUACAGCCUGGAAUCGAACCAGGAUCUGUAGUGACGCCUCUAGCACUGAGAUGCAGUGCCUUAGACUGCUGUGCCACUUCAGGAGCCCAAAUAGGUGUCUCUAGAAGGUUUCCCGAGCCGUCUUGUCAUAGCCUGAGUAUCUUCAACCUACGUCACAAACGGCACCAUAUUCCCUAGAGGCCCAUUUAGGAUAUCAGUAUAUUUAGCCCACUCACCCAUGAAGAGGCAUCUCUAGAAGCAGCCGUUAGCCGUCUCUCUCUCUGCUUUGUUUUGCGAAGACUUCGCCCCCCGACCUCCAGAGACUGGCCAGCCUGCCAGUAGACUGAGUCCCUACGAGGCGACGGAGGUCUGAAUGUUGGCAUGGAGAACUCAGAAAUUGAAUUGUGGUAAUUUGUAGUAGGCCCAAUAGUAGGUCUGUGUCUGUCGUCAAGAUUCAUCUUGUGAAAAUGUAUCUCCAUCAAAUAAUAGGAUGUGUGGCAAGCUGUUAAAAUCUGCAGGUUUGGAAAUCUAUUUUUUUUUAGUAUGGGGUAGAUUUAGAUUUUCAAAAUAAACACUGAGAUUGUUGCCAUAGCGCUUGUGUGGAGGAAUAGAAGGGUUCCUUUGUUUUGGUUACCGGACCAUUGUGAUGCCUCAAUAUACGGUUCUAAGGUUCUGGUUUGGAAUCUGGAAUGAGUUGGUCGAUUCUCAGGCAUGUUAUUGGGUAACAAUGCAGAUACAGUCAUAAUAACUAGGUCAACCAAUAGAGGCCAAGUCUUUGAGUUCAUGCAUCCUCCAAAAGAUGGAGAGGGACAUAUCAUGAUCAGAGGAAGAUGGUCAGGGACGUAUUUGAUGAUGAGUCUGGUGAUGAUCUUGUAGAGGGCUACUCUGGGAAUCAGUCUUAUGGCUACUGGACUUGUCCUCCUUCCCUCUGAGUAGCCCCCACGUGAUGUCUCAGCAGCUCUGGGCACCAGAAAGUUCACCACACACAGUUCAGAGUAGUAGCCAGUCAUCCUCACCACGAGCCCUCUGCCUCAGCACUGUAUUCCUCUACUGUAUCUACCAUUCCUCUCGUGCUUCAGGUGACUCCUCAAUUGAUGUUUUCAAAUAGACCAGGAACAGGCAGCCAGGUGAGACAAAAAAGCGGGUACUGAUGCAUCAUUCAAACAAAAAAUAAUGAGCCAGCUAGCAAGUCCAUCUGCACAUGUUUAAAAACACAAUUAAAAACACUUACAAAUAAUUUAAUAUGUACAUAUUUACAGGAGCUCUCUGCUUAGGCUGCUAGGGCGCCAUGGCAACUACAGAACCAACAUAGACAACUUUGUGUGUGUUUGCGUUCGUGUGUGUGCAGGCGCCAAUCAAUACCUAGUUUAUAUAACUGAAUGGUUAACACAAAAUUGGUGACUUAUUACUGCUUGAGUAGGCUGUUUCAUGUGUGAAAGCUAGCCAACAUCAAAUUAUGCCAGUGUUGUGUAAAAUUGCUCAACCCUAAAUCCCUUUUAAAUCCAACGCGUGGAUGAUUCCUAUUUGCUCAAAGGCUCCCACAUCCUCCGUUACUAGGAGACGAUUACGAGGUGCAUUGUGGGUAUUGCAUUUUACAAACCCUUUCCCCAGAAUUGUAAACCCAGUUUGUAGUUUAUUAUAAAACUACAUAUCCCACAAUGCAGUUCGUCCAGGACGCGUCCGCCUCUUCUAAACACAUGACUUGAAGUACUCGGGCUAGAAAGACAGACGAAUGAACCGUAGCUCUGAAAUUGCGUUUCAUUUAAGGUUUCUUCCAUACAUUUUCCGGUACGGUGUAAAAAUGAAGUUUGGUUGUUUAUUCGCGGUGUUGUGUCUCGCAGUCGGGGCGAUUGCAGGAAAGUAUUCUAGAGAAAUGAACGACCAGAAACCGUCCGUGGACGGCAAGAGCACGGUGGAAUUUAGGAUAGCGAAACUCAACCAGGUGUGGGAGAAAGCGAUCAGGAUGCAGUUGCCCCCAGUGCCCCAGUCUAACAGUCAAUUAACUGUGGUUUAUUGGCAAUCUCUUUUUCUCCUCUCAUCCUCUCUUCUUCUGUCUCUAGUUGCAGUUGUCCACAGUACACCACUUUAACACCAGUCUCUCUCUUUCGUUCCAUCCCUAU
Salvelinus fontinalis (brook trout) is the source of this 4329-nucleotide RNA transcript. It is a transcript of the gene named low density lipoprotein receptor-related protein associated protein 1, with no coding region annotated. Lineage: Eukaryota; Metazoa; Chordata; Actinopteri; Salmoniformes; Salmonidae. The transcript is spliced from 2 exons. The record is from RefSeq and is a predicted model, not a curated record.